RNAcentral lists this ribosomal RNA (775 nucleotides) under uncultured Leptospiraceae bacterium. RNAcentral describes it as "bacterial SSU rRNA". It matches the Rfam family "Bacterial small subunit ribosomal RNA", at positions 556 to 1330 of the family's 1533-position model. Lineage: Bacteria; Pseudomonadati; Spirochaetota; Leptospiria; Leptospirales; Leptospiraceae. The record is from RNAcentral.
GGGCGUAAAGGGCUCGCAGGUGGUUUGUUAAGUUGGUGGUUUAAUCUCUGGGCUCAACCCAGAGUCAGCCUCCAAAACUGGCGAACUUGAGUACGAUAGGGGAUAGCAGAAUUCUCGGUGUAGCGGUGGAAUGCGUAGAUAUCGAGAGGAACACCAAUGGCGAAGGCAGCUAUCUGGAUCGUAACUGACACUCAUGAGCGAAAGUGCGGGGAGCAAACAGGAUUAGAUACCCUGGUAGUCCGCACCGUAAACGUUGUAUACUAGUUGUUGGCGGUUUCAACGCCGUCAGUGACGACGCUAACGCAUUAAGUAUACCGCCUGGGGAGUAUGCUCGCAAGGGUGAAACUCAAAGAAAUUGACUGGGGCCCGCACAAGCGGUGGGGCAUGUGGUUUAAUUCGACGAUACGCGAGAAACCUUACGUGGGUUUGACAUGGAUUUGACUGGGGUAGAGAUACCCCUUCCCGCAAGGGCAGAUUCACAGGUGUUGCAUGGUCGUCGUCAGCUCGUGUUGUGAGAUGUUGGGUUAAGUCCCGCAACGAGCGCAACCCCUAUCUUCUGUUACCAUCAUUAAGUUGGGGACUCUGAAGAAACCGCCGGUGACAAACCGGAGGAAGGUGGGGAUGACGUCAGAUCAGCAUGGCCCUUAUAUUCCAGGGCUACAUCACGUGCUACAAUGGCCAGUACAGAGGGACGCAAAGCCGCGAGGUGGAGCAAAUCCCACAAAGCUGGUCUCAGUUCAGAUUGCAGUCUGCAACUCGACUGCAUGAAGUCGGA